CAAUAGCGUAUAUUAAAGCUGUUGCGGUUAAAAAGCUCGUAGUUGGAUUUCUGUCAAGGACAACUGGUCCGCCCCUCGGGUGAGCACAUAGUUUGGUCUUGGCAUCUUGUUGGAAACUGUUGCUGCACUUGGUUGUGUGGCGCAGUGUCCAGCACGUUCACUUUGAGGAAAUUGGAGUGUUUCAAGCAGGCACAUGCCUUUGGACACAGUAGCAUGGAAUAAUUAGAUUGGGCUUUUGCUCCAACUUGUCGGUUUCUGGAGCUGAGGUGAGAAUUAAUGGGGAUUGUUGGGGGCAUCCGAAUUUAGCCGUCAGAGGUGAAAUUCUUGGAUCUGCUAAAGACGGACAACUGCGAAAGCGUUUGCCCAGGAUGUUUUCAUUGA
This 381-nucleotide ribosomal RNA is filed under the name uncultured eukaryote. Its description in RNAcentral is "partial 18S ribosomal RNA". It matches the Rfam family "Eukaryotic small subunit ribosomal RNA", at positions 592 to 976 of the family's 1831-position model. The record is from RNAcentral.